RNAcentral lists this long non-coding RNA (4467 nucleotides) under Triticum aestivum (bread wheat). Its description in RNAcentral is "long non-coding RNA (TAES_LNC020335)". The record is from RNAcentral. Lineage: Eukaryota; Viridiplantae; Streptophyta; Magnoliopsida; Poales; Poaceae.
GUUGAUGUUUGACCUGGGCUAAACCUAACCAUUGUUUUUCGAUUGGCCAGUAUUUACAGUUAUACAAGCAGUACAUCUCAUAGUAUGAAAGAUUAGUAUUAAAUCCAAUUUUUUGGAUUUCUGUAAAUGUUUCAGUAGUAGUAAUAACAUUUAAAACAAAAAAAGCUAUAGUAUUGGUUCGUGGAUCUAUGCUACUUGAGAACACGUAUACAUCUAUGCUACAUAUGUCAGCAUGGAUCAGCAUUAUAAACUUAGCUAGCAGAAAGGGCUAGAUGGUGAAGUACAAAUUAUAUAGAUUUUGUACUUCACAAUAAUUGCCAAUCCCGGGAGCUUACAAGCAGGAUGGUGAUGUUAAUUACAAACUCUUUAGACAAGACGCCAAAUUGAGGUGACCUUUGUUGUAGGAUGGGAGAGGAGAGGACGUACAAGAGAGGCUGCAGAUCUUGUCCAUCAAUUUUUACCACAUACAACACUAGUACGCAAAUAAAACUAGUUCUAUCGAGAUGCAAAGUAGUAACUAUAAUCCAAAAGGAUGUCCUCCAGCUGAGCACACUCCUGUCUGACCAAAGAACCUUCAUCAGCCGCUUGUUGUGCCUCAGAAAUCCCCUCUCCUCUUCUCCUAUCGUUGUGGGACCAUCUUCACUAUCAGAUCCAGCCACCUCUUUAUCAGCUUAAAUAGGACAUGCUAGUUCGCCAAUGGCCUUCCUUAUUCAGGUGCUAUCAACAGUUUCCUUGUUGCUACCAGGACUCGAUUUGAGCAAUGAACUUUGGCCAAUCUUUACACAUAUUUUACUUAGUCAAGGCAGGAUGCUGAAACAAACAGAAAACCAUAUUAUUUUCUGUGAGAAAGAACCAAAAGAUGCCUUAACUUUCAUGGUAAAGAAUCCAACAAUUUGGUGUAAUCCAGGUACAAUGCAGCUAUACAUAUGAUUUCUUCACAAAACUCAUUUGCAAUGCAUGGAUCUACUUGUACGAAUCACAAAAUAGAUAUGCGAUACAUGGAUGUACUUGUACGAAUCACAAACUGAUAUGCAAUACAUGGAUCUGCUUGUACGAAUUCAAUAUGAAAUUGAAAAACCGAUAUACAUUGCAAAGCUGGGAGUAUGUGUACUAUGGACACAUGAACUUUGCAUAUACGUACCAUAACAUGUACAAAAGGCGAAACAACUUUAACUCAAAAUAAAAGACAAUUGUUGUGCUAACAGUUAAAAGUUAUACAAUAUGUAGAGCGGCAAAACUAAACAGUGUGAUAAUAAAAAAUGGAGAAAAUAAAAAACUCCAAAGUACCUUGCCAAUGAAAAAAUGGAGCACUAAAUAAACGGCAGGGGGCUCCUGUCCAAAUUGUAUGCAUAUAUCUUAGAGCAUAUAUUAGAGCAACAAAUUUGUAUAUCCACCAAAACCUUUUAGCUCCAAGCAGACCCCAAACUUUUAUUAGGCUCUGAAGAAGCUCCACCAAUGUGUCCGAUUGAAACUACCUGCAUAAUAAACAGAGAGGAUCAAGGAAAUGAAGGCAAUAUUUGUACAUAUCUAGGAAAAAAUGAUUGUGGUCUUCUAUCGAAAAAAUAUUUUUAGUGCAGUUCAAGCUAACAAUUUCUUUAAGCACUUUCCGUACUACUUUGCCCAACCAGUCACUGUAAAGAUGUAUAACUCCGCACACAUGGAACAUAUGCUAUUUAUCUCAUGUCAACUUGCAUAACUCUUACAGGGAAUUAUAAUACUCCCUACGAUCCAUAUUAGUCGCUCAAAUGGAUGUAUCUAGACGUAUUAUAUUGCUAGAUACAUCCGUUUGAGUGACAAGUAAUAUGAAACGGAGGGAGUACAAGCUAACUACCUCUAAUGCCAAUUGCACAAUGGCAAUAUAAGUUAUCUAGUUCAAUAAUAAAUAGUAUACAAAUUUUGGUGACAGGGAGCAUAUAAGGAAGUUCUCUACAACAAUGUUUACGACAUGCAAGAGAAGUGUACAAUGGGAAGCAUGGCAGCGCAAAAAAUAUACAUGCUCUUAUCUUAUAUGCUCGAGAACUUGAAAAUAUAUAAUAGAAGUAUGCACUCGAGGGAUUUUAUUGCGAAGUACAAAUUGUAUAUAAUACUAUAUGCUUGAAAGAAUAACAAUUUUUUUAGAAAUUCCACCGGAAGAUGUAUUAUUAGAAUUGGCAAUUUUCAGUUAGAAAUAUCAUAGUGCAAUCUGAUAUACGGAUUAGAUACUCAAUAAAAAUUCAAUUGUCAAAGUAUUAUGCCAUAAAUGUUAAUGCACAUGCUCCAUCCUUUCCACUCCCAAACUCUAUUCACCAAUGACCACAAUUGAAUGGACAUAUUUUAACUUGAAAAAGGUGCUAAUAGGCACACGCACAUAUAACAUGCAUGUCUAUUUAUCCGUAUUGAUUAUUGGCGCAAACGCAACAAUACAAAAUCACCUAUCUCCACACAUCCAUGGCGAAGGUAUUGUCAUGUGUGGUUAAUAAUAUCAUUAUUUUUGACUAGGACCAUACACAACAAUGCAACAAAAGGGAGCAUGAAAAUAGGCAGACCCUGGUAUAAAAUAGCAAAAGAGAAAUGAAGCAUAAUGCAAUUAGCAGUCCCCCUUUGAAAAUUAAUAUCAAAAUAUAUAAAAUGAUUAAAUGAGCAUCAUCUACAGUAGCACAAAGAUUAAGUAGAAGCAUCUCUAAUUGAUGCACAGGUUACUAUUCUCUCAUCACUUCUAGCAAUAGCGCAAAAGGUAAGACAUCUUCCAAAUUUUCAAUUAGUAUUGUGAAAAAUAUAAGAACAAAUCUUUGGCAACACAUUCCAAUUUCACAACACUUUUGUUAUUUAAAUCUCAUUUUACACGCUAGCGAUUAUCAUUCUGGCCACCACAGUAAUAACGGCCAUUACCUGCCAUUCUUUUUACAUCACGGUCAGAUUGCUAACUUGUCCAAGCAGGCACCAGAUUCAAUCAUUUGACAAAUAAUAAUUUGUAUGGACUUUCUUAGAACCAGAUCAACACUUUUGAUCUGUAACUCUAGGUGUGAAGAACAUAUCACAACAGGAACCUAAAAAUAAUUACAUCUGGCAGAAAAAUGUCAUCAUGGCCCAAUAAAAAGUUGGCUGGUGCCAAACAUACAUAAAAGGCCAAGACUUAUUACAUCAGUUAAGACAAAGUUAAUAUGAGCAGCAAGAAUAACUUCACAGGACCAGAAAUUUAAAUCUACAGUGAAAUCAAAAGUGAUAGCAACUAUGUAAAGGCACUGCGGUCAAAUAAGAAAAUGUUAAGAGCAGAUACCUCAUUUAUUCCCAGCUUUCCUCUCUUGGUGUUCUUCCAUGAGAACUGGGCCUAGCAAAGCAUUUAAAACCAUGAGUCAAUUAAGAGAAAGUUAUGUUGUGGCCAAAACAUGUAAAAGCGUCAAUUCUGUUGUGCAAUGUUCAGUACUUUGUGAGCUUCCCUCGUUUCCUACAUUGUGAAUUUUCCAACUCUGUUACCUGCAAGAUGAAACACGGACAUAGACAUUUGAUGUAAAUAGUAUUUGCCCAUUCUUUGCAUUAGUUCUAACUUCUAAAUAGGCAUACAACAGUGCAAGCAUACAUCCAUGUGCCAGUCAUACUAAAUUCUCACGGAAAGUUCCCCAAAUAAACACUAUAUAUGUUUCCUGGAAAAGCUGUAAGGCCCCAUUCGUAUGCUUCAGUUAGUAUAAAAAUUCAUCUAAAUCACCCAAUUCUAAUGGCUCAUAGUUCCAGAUUUGGAGAAAAAAAAUGAAGGGUGGAGAAGAGGCUAAAAGACUAGAGCCUUAACCUUGUUCGGGGCUAGCGGUCGUUGAGGAAACCAACGUGCCGCAGGUGAUCCGGGACGGCGGAUGCAGGCACGUAGUGGUAUCUUCUGGACGCCAUGGUGCCGCGGUAAGUUGAGGAUGGGCGUGGGAGCGGGAGCAGGCUUUACUUGCUAUCCCCGGAAUGUUUUUCCCGAGCAGCCAGCUGCCGAGGUUGCCUAUCGCCGUCGACGAAAGCCGAGCGCUGCUACAGAAGGGGCCAUGGUUGAGCUUGCCUCCCAGAUCUGAGCAGUGGUGGGGCUCCGAGUACAAAAUAGAGGCCACCUGCAGCGUCGCAUGCCGCCGAGGCCACCCGCGGUGGUUCCCUGCACCGAGGCCACAACGCAGGCCGCCGAACCCCACGGCUGCCGUCCACUCGCCGCCGGCACCGCCAAAGACUCUGGCCGCUCGCCUCCGAAACCGCUCACCGCCUGACUAUCGGCGAGUACCGCCGGUGACUUGCCACCGAGCAGCCCCCGUCACCGCGCCGCCUUUCACCUCGUGCUCUUCGCCGUCGAGAACAGAGUUUUUUUUCCAAAACAUGAAACCGUUCUAAUCCGAUUAGAAAAUCACGGGAAUGUGAGCUUAGCUAUCUCCUAAACGGUUAGCAAAUAAAAUUACCUCGAUACCAAGGUAAUUUUACAACGUAAUGUGGGACCAGUAAAUUUACCUCGAGAAGGACAAAUCUUAC